GCAAGUCGAACGGGGCUCAGAGAACAGAGGACUUGUCCAAAGUUUUCGAAAGCCUAGUGGCGGACGGGUGAGUAACACGUGAGCAACCUGCCUUGGACUGGGGAAUAACUGUGGGAAACCAUAGCUAAUACCGCAUAAAGUCACGAGAGGACAUCCUCCUGUGACCAAAGGAGCAAUCCGGUCUUAGAUGGGCUCGCGUCCGAUUAGAUAGUUGGUGAGGUAACGGCUCACCAAGUCUGCGAUCGGUAGCCGGACUGAGAGGUUGAACGGCCACAUUGGGACUGAGACACGGCCCAGACUCCUACGGGAGGCAGCAGUGGGGAAUAUUGGGCAAUGGGCGAAAGCCUGACCCAGCAAUGCCGCGUGAAGGACGAAGGUCUUCGGAUUGUAAACUUCUUUGAUCAGGGACGAAUAAAUGACGGUACCUGAAGAACAAGCCACGGCUAACUACGUGCCAGCAGCCGCGGUAAUACGUAGGUGGCGAGCGUUAUCCGGAUUUACUGGGUGUAAAGGGCGUGUAGGCGGAUUCUCAAGUUGGAUGUGAAACCCCUUGGCUAAACUGAGGGCUUGCAUUCAAAACUGAGGACCUUGAGUAUCAGAGGGGAAAGUGGAAUUCCUGGUGGAGCG
RNAcentral lists this ribosomal RNA (627 nucleotides) under uncultured bacterium. Its description in RNAcentral is "bacterial SSU rRNA". It matches the Rfam family "Bacterial small subunit ribosomal RNA", at positions 57 to 680 of the family's 1533-position model. The record is from RNAcentral.